GCCAGGCGUGGUGGUGUGUGCCUGUAGUCCCAGCUACUCAGGAGGCUGAGGCAGGAGAAUCACUUGAACCCAGGAGGCAGAGGUGGCAGUGAGCCAACAUCACACCACUGCACUCCAGCCUGGGUGACAGAGUGAGAUUCAGUCUCAA
Molecule: non-coding RNA, 148 nt
Filed under: Homo sapiens (human)
Lineage: Eukaryota; Metazoa; Chordata; Mammalia; Primates; Hominidae
Source: Rfam by way of RNAcentral